AUUGCUUCAUGGUCUCUGUGUAUAUAAUGUCUUCUGCAGUUUCCACAGUAUGCAUCCGAUGAAGUGAGCUGUAGCUCACGAAAGCUUAUGCUCAAAUAAAUUGGUUAGUCUCUAAGGUGCCACAAGUACUCCUUUUCUUUUUGCGAAUACAGACUAACACGGCUGUUACUCUGAAAUCUAUCAAAUGUAUGUGUUUUGCUGUGUUCUAUAACCACUAGAGAACACCCCUCAACAGAGCCAGGGAUAGAACCCAUAAUUCCUGAUUCCCAGUACUCCUCUGUUGUCUCCUAAGUAGGUGUGAAAGCCCAAGGCAAAGGUAUGAGCCAUUCCUUGUAAUUGCUAGUCUCUGUAAAGGAUAACAGCACAUUACUGCUUCCAAUUAGUCUUCUAGCUCAAAGGGUAGAGAUCUGGGUUGUGGUUUUAAAGGUCCUGAGUCCCAGGUCAUUGUAAUUCCACAUGAUGGAAUUUGCUUUUUCAGUUUGCCUUUUUUUUUUUUUUUUUUCUUUUUUUGAAAGUUGCAAAUUACAGCCCCCCCACACUCCUCAACAACUUCUAAAACAAGACAUAUGUAUGUUAAGAGAAUGUUAAGGUUGCCAUGUCAAGCACUCAAAAUAAAUUGUUGAGAAAUAGCUGUAAAUGAAUGAAAAGAACAUAUUAUGGAUAGCUCUAGACAUUCUCCCUACUGAUUUUAACUGGUAUACUUACUCAUGAGUGUGCACAUUGUAAUACAGUCAUUUGUGCAUUUGAGUAUUUGAUCCCACGUGUGACAGUGAACAAAAUGCAAGUUCGUUGCUCUGUUUCUUUAUUGGUACAUCCCACUGUUGUAUUUGCUUCCCCAGCUGUGGCCAGACACAUUGAUCUGAUGGUUUUACGUUUCUGCCCCUCUCACCCUUCAGGAUCCUUAGGGUGUAAUCCCUUUUGACGCUUGUCAAUUUUUAGCAGGUAUAUUACUUCAUACUUCCUACACCAAAGUUACACUGUUCCACCCAUGGCCCUAUUUUUUCUGUGUCUUCAGCUCCAAGCUCUGUGUUUAGAUAGGGCGCUUACAGGUACUCUGUAUUGCUGAGAUCUUAUGAAUCUGAUCACUAGUCACUUGGAUUUCCAUGUGGCACAUUUCCUGAUAGAUAAAUGUCAUCCAGUCUGAAAGCGGGUUAUUUAUAAAUGUGCAAUGAUUUUUUUGUCGAUGAAGUUCUGUUACUGGUAAGCUAUUCUCUGAUUGGCUGAAGUACACAAGUCUGUGGUUUUUAUUUGCCAUGCCAAAUUCAAAUAUUCAGUAAUAGUACAAAUAAGCAAUUAUCAUUUUGAUAACUUUGACAGUGGUACAAUUAUUUGUCCCUGGGCGCAACAGAAAUAGGCAUAGCCAUAGAAUGCCAUUUGGGGAUAAUUUACUGUGUUUUAUAUAUUUAUAAUACAAUUGCAGAGGUUAUAUACAGUUUUUAUAUAGGUAUAUAUUUAACUGUUCACUCAAACCUUUGUAUGUCUAUUUUGGUCUGGGUUUUGAGGGCAGCAACCAAAAAUUGUAACUCAAAGAGGAAGCUCAGUUCAAAAAAUUGAAAAAAAUCUCUGAUUUAACUUUCUGUCCCGCGGUCUUGCCAGUAUGUAAAAUGAGUAUAAUGACCUGCUUCUCAAGGGUGCUUGGGUAAAAGGUGCUAUGUACUUGCAAGGUAUUCAUGUGGCCUUUCCUUGCUAUUGUUUCCUACACAAGGUCUUUGAAAUUUAGUAUGUCAAGUGCUUUACUGAAACCCGUCACUUUAAGGCAACCUGUGUGUUUCCAGUUGUUUAGCUGAUUCUCUUCCCUCUUCUUAAGUAUCCAUAUACAUUCCACAUCUGCUUCUGAUUUAGAUUUCACUUGAAUAGACAGCGUUUCUUUACCCUAGCAACCAUACUGCUGUGCACAUUGCAUGUGUGGGAUCUGACCAGUAUUGUCUUGUUGUUUUCUUUCCUGUCUCUCUCUGCCUGUCUAGCCACCUGUUUUAUUCCGAGAUCGUUAAGCUCUUUGUGAUGGGGAAAGCCUUUGUUUUGUUUGUAUGAUGCCUGAUGCAAUGGGGUCUUCUUCAUAGAAUCAUAGAAUAUCAGGGUUGGAAGGGACCUCAGGAGGUCAUCUAGUCCAACCCCCUGCUCAAAGCAGGACCAAUCUCCAACUAAAUCAUCCCAGCGCGGGCUUUGUCAAGCCUGACCUUAAAAACUUCUAAGGAAGGAGAUUCCACCACCUUCCUAGGUAAUGCAUUCUUCUUUGAUUGGAACUCCUAAGAGCUGUUACAAAACAAAUAUAUAAAUAAUAUGUACACAACGUGGUAUGGAAUUAAAAAUUCCACAAAGAAAAUAUAUUCUCUUUUUAACUCAUGGCUAAUAUGUUUUAAUCCAUGUCCAGAACUGCAAACCUGCUCAUGAAAGAUCUUACAUAAAUGCACCUGUGAUAAUAAUCAGGUGUUUUACAUUCACUACUGAAUUAGCUAUGCUUCAUGUUUCUGUGUUUAUCCUACCUGAUUGUAUUGGAUGAUAACCCUGAUCUCAUUUUUAAUAUUUUCUUAGUAUCCUUUUAGCUAUUAUGUAAAUUCAAGAGAUUCCAAUUUUAAUAAGGGCCAUACCCUUAUGUAAAUUAGUUCUUGUAAUGAUGCUAAUAUAGCUAUGAUGCAAAACAGUACUUCAUUUGGUCAAGUGUCUUUCAUCAAACCAUGUCUCAAAAUGGUAUUACUAAAGCUUUGUCUUCCAAUACAGUUAAAACGUACAACCUCCUAGUGUGGCUGUAGUUGUGACACAGUAAGCUGUUCGCACACAGGAAGAGGGAUAACAUAUAGUGGUGUAAGGUUUAUACUGAUAUAAUUGCGUCCACACUAUGGGUUGUACUGGUAUAACUAUAUCAGUGAAAAUCACACUCCUAAGCAACACUACCAAAAAAAAAAAAAAAGUGUAGACCUGGUUAAAGGAGAGUGUUAAAGGAGAAGUGACAUUUUUAGUUGAGAUCAGAAAUAUGGAAGGUUCCUGAACCAGAGAGCUAGAGGAAAGCUGUUCCAGAUGGCAGAGGAGAAGGGUCUCCCUCAACCAGUGGCAAGAUUUUUGUGAAGAGUCAGAUGAGGCUAGUGCUAGGUGGGUAGGGAGUAGAGAGAGCGAGAGAAGGGCUGCUACAAUAUUAGUUGGUGGAGAAGGCAGCUGUGAACUGAAUUCAGAAAUUAAUGGGUAAUCAGUGAGGUGGUUUGAGGAUGCGGGUGACAUUUGCACUUGUUUUGAUAUGAGUUUAGGCAACACAUUUGUUAGGGCAGUGAUGCUCAGACUGAAACUCGCGAGCCACAAGUGGCUCUUUAAUAUGUGUCCUGCAGCUCUUCGCAGCACAUGUUAUUAAAACACUGUGUGAUUUAAUUAUUAACCAAUCAGGAUGCUUUUACUGUGUUAUUAACCAGUUGUAACUGAUAAAAUAAUAAUACUUAGUCAUUUUGCUGUGAGAAUAGUUUGUGUGUCUAUACACACACAUCUAUAUAGUAAAUGAAACAAUGAAUUCACACGACUGUGGCUCUUUUGGGUAACGUUCAUGGCUAAUUUCGCUCCUGAAACACUGAGGUCUGCAUAUCACUGUGCUAGAGUCUGGAGAUCUGGAAUUUUAAGAGAAAAUAGGGAAUUGUCAUUGUCCAGGUGAGAAGAAAUGAAAGCAAAGACUAGGGUUUCACCGAAAGGGGAGUCAACCCAUUGGCCUACAUGAGAAGAGGAAGAAGAAAAAGUUCAGGGUCCAGGGUGAUGUCCUGGCUUAAUUUUACAAACAUAAGGAGUAUAGUUUAAGGAAUAGUCUAAAUUAUGCUAUUUUGUACAAACAAGAAUUCGAGAAUAAACCUGCGUUAGUGUGAAACUUCGAGAAUCCACUUAUAUGCAGUCAGGAUUUUUUGAUUUCCACAUUAAAAUUGACCUUGAUUUUUUUUCUAAACCUGAGAUCAUACAUAAGUAGUAAUGUUAACUUUGACCAGAAUUUUUCAGGACAAGAAUCAGUGCUUGGGUAUGACCUUCAACACAUUAAAUAUUUUGCUUUUCCUGAAAUUUAUAAAAAUAACCUUUUAGUCACUAUAAUAAAAUUAAAAAUCGGGCCACAAUUAUAGCAAAUUACUCAAUGCAAGUAUAUCUGAGAUCAUAUAAACUGGUCACAGUGGGGGUUUUUUUUGAGAGAGAGAGAAAUGCGCAGCCUCAUAGAUUCCCUGAUUUAAACUUUACCUGGUGAAUCAGAAGUUGAUUAGAUAUUUUUAGAGAAUCGCAUCUGAGGAUCAAGCUUCGAACAAGUGAAAAUUUGUCAAGAAACUAUUGGAACUCAAAUAUAAUGUAGUGUCAGAAGGUCUGGUCAUGUUUAUAGAAGGAUUUGGGCUGAAUAUAAUUAUAGACUCAUAGUCUUCAGGGUCAGAAGAGACCAUCAUUAUCAUCUAGUUUGGCCUCCUGUACGUUGCAGGCCACAGAACGUCAUCCACCCACUCCUGUAAUAGACCCACAGCCUCUGGCUGAGUUACUGAAGUCCUCAAAUCAAGGUGUAAAGACUUCAAGUUACAGAGAAUCUACCAUUUAUUCUAGUUUAAACCUGCAAUUGACCCAGCCCCCAUGCUGCAGAGGAAGGUGAAAAACCUCCAGGAUCUCUGCCAGUCUUCCCCAGGGGAAAAUUCCUUCCCAACCCCAAGCAUGGUGAUCAGUUAGACUUUGAGCGUGUCGGCGAGACACACCAGGCAGACUCCUGGCAAAGAAUUCUCUGUAGUAACUCUCAGCCUUCCCCAUCUACUGUCCUAUAACCCGCCAAUGGAGAUAUUUGCUGCUAGCAGUCGCAGAUCGGCUACAUGACAUUGUAGACCAGUGGUCCCCAACCUUUCUGUGGGAAUAGCAUAUUGCUAUUCCCAGAAGACUGGUGGGUGCCGGACACCCCGCCGCCGAAAUGCCGCUGAGAAACGGCAACAUGUCUCGGUGGCAUUUCAGCAGGCGGUUCUCCGGCAGCUGUGCUUGGCGGCGGCAUUUUGGUGACGCGGUGUCCCGUGGGCGCACAAAAAUGCCCCGGCGGGCGCCAUGGCUCCCAUGGGCACCACGUUGGGGACCACUGUUGUAGACAGUCUCAUCAUACCAUUCCCUCCAUAAACUUGUCAAGCUCAGUCUUGAAGCCAGUUAGAUUUUUUUGCCCCCACUGCUCCCGUUAGAAGACUGUUCCAGAACUUCACUUCUCUGAUGGUUAGAAAGCUUUGUCUAAUUUUGAGCCUAAACUUGUUGAUGGCCAGUUCUUGUGUCCACACUGGUGUUGAACUUACAUAAAGUGUGUGAUUUAUACAUAAUAGGUGAUUUUCAGAGUGAGGAAAAAGUGUAUCUUGCUGGUUUAUCUUUCAAUAGUGUCCACAUUCACUUGGUUCUAUACUUUCUUUUGUGAAGGAAAUCAUUUUUAGUCUGUAUGAAGACUCAAAGGAGAAACUUCCAUUCCACCUCCAAAGAAAUGCGCAAGGGUCCACACCUAUUUCAAAGUGAUUAAGUGACUUAUAAGCGUAAGUCCCAUUUUCAAAUUUGAGUUAGGCACAUAGGAACCUCAGGCUCAUGGAAUGUCAAUGGGAAAGUCAAUUUGACCAAAGCUCUAAAAUUAAACAAGUAUCUUUCCUUUCUGGGGCAUUCAGAAUUAUCCACAUGGAGCAUGAUGCAUUCAGUUUUGAAGUGUUAGAUGUAUUUAUUUAGACUUACAAGAGCCACAAAGAAAUGCCUCAAAUUAUUUAAAAGCACAACUAAUAUAAACAUAUUUGUAAAUAACACUCUGUGUUUAGAAGGACACUAUCUAUUUGAAAUCUAAUUAAUUAACAUAAAAGGUGAAAAGUACUUUCAGGUAUUAGCAUACGUCCCUGAGUCCCUUUUUGCCAAAUGUUGUGUUUUUUCAAUAGCAUUAUCCUACUCACAAUAUUUCUCUCUCCUUGAUUGUUGUAUGAAAUAUGCAAACCCAGGGAAGAUGGUGCUCUAAGUCCCAAAUCCUGCAAAAACACACACACAGGAGUAGGACUGUUGAGUUCAAUGUGUAAAGUUGCCAAUGCAAUGCAAUUUGCAAUGGUGUAAUUAAACACAAAGUAAAGUAAACUGGAAAAAAAAAAAGAUUUUUCCCCAUAAUUUUUCAUUUAUAGUAAUUUUAGGUGGUGGUCAUAAAAAAAAAAAAAUCAAGCAGAAGUGAUUUUUAAAUUGCCGGUGUCCUUGAGUAACCAUUGCCUGAUGAAUGGAAUGGACAAGAGGACAGAGAACUGUGGCAGCAGUCUAUUCUGAUUCUCGUAGCUUUGGCAGCAGCCGUAUAUAGUGCUGAGCUUCACACUCAUUUCAUCACGCUAUCUAGAGGCACUCUUUUGUUCAGUGAGGCGAGAGCACCGGAGUGUAACUGUGCAGCCACUUAAUAGCAUGGAAAGUUCAAGCUCAGCAUUCACCGCACAGAGAAGGCUGUGUGUACUACUUUGAAAUCUCCCUAGUAAACCUCUUUUGACUGACACAUUGGCCUGCUGAGUGAUGUGAUGCAGACUCUUGGGUUGACCUCUCUUGUAUUUCUAUUUACACUUCAUCUGAAGUAAUUUCCCAGUGUGAUGGAAAGAUGUCGUGCACUUUGGCUGGAAAGAUAAAAUAGAUAAAAAUGUAACCAGGUUACAGCAGGAAAGUAUCCCGAGGUUGUUUGCCAGCAGGUGCUUCCCAUGACAUUCCUUCUGGAAUUCUUACGACUUCAACUGUUUGGUAAAGCGUCUGAGCAGCUUCUAAGAAACCGAGCGUCAGUGCCUUGGGAACUGAAAAGCAGUGGAAGAUGCAUGUAGUGGAGCCAGACUUUUGUUUGCCUGUUUACAGUUAAUUUCUGGUAGUCUUUUUAUUGUGUAUUCAUGGCCACAUGGAAGCACCACAAAAUGCUGUGCUGAAAUAGGUUUCAUUUUGCUAAUCCUGUUUUAUUCUUAUUUCAUCGUAGCUUUGCAAGUGCCAUAAUGAAUUUGAAAUAUAUAGUCAAAUGAUACAGUGUCAUGGAAUGUAUUGGAAGCCAACCUGAAUACAUUUAAAACUAGAUGUGAAUUUUUUUCAUGUAAAAUGCAGUUCACAUUCACUCAAUCACACGAUCUUGAAAUAAAAGCCCUGCAUACCAAACAGGAAAGGAAGUAUAAACCUCUAUUCCUGCAGCAUGCUCAAACCCAUAAUGUGAGUGCAAUCAUUUUAUCCAUGCCAAAGAGGAACCUUUCUUUCAUGAGGACCUAAUAAAGGAAUUUUCUUCCACUUGUUUUUACUACACAAAGAGUGCUAGUUGCUUGAAAUGGGUUUGCUAAUUAUUACUAUUUCAUACUGUGGUCGCAUGUAGAGGCCCCAACUGAAAUUUGGGCUGCAUUGUGCUGGCCCUGUACAAACACAAUAACGACAGUACCUACCCUGGGGAGCUUAAGCUUUGUCUACACUACACAUUUUUAUUGGCAAAAGGCACCUUUUGUUGACAAAGCAGUGGAGGUGUACAUACUGUGCUGCUCCUCCUGCCGACAAAACUGUCCUGCUCUGCCGACAAAAUAAAACCACCUCAACGAGAGGCAUAGAGGUUUUUGAGGCAAAGUUAGAUCGACAAAGUGUCAGUGUAGACGCCGCACUUGGUUUUGUCACUGUAAAUGGCCUCCAGCAGGUGUCCGACGUUGGCUAUCCUGACCAUGCUGGUCAGCAGUUUGAACUGCGCUGCUCUGCACCCAGAUACGCAAGCAUCCACCCCUUCCCCUUUAAAGGCCUGAGAAUUUUUGAAAUUCCAUUUCCUGUUUGCUCUGCGUGGACUGGACAUCACAUUACAUCUUCCCAGCUUAUCAUGGCGUUGUCAGCAGCAAAUGCUCUUCCGCUUCGACCACAGCUGAAUUGUUGGAUCUGCUGAAUAUAUGGGGAGAGGAGGCUGUCCAUCCUAGCUGCACUCCAGCUGUAGGAACUUCAAUACCUUUGAGCAGAUUUCUCGUGGCCUGUGCAAUGAGGGCUACGAAUGGGACACGGUUCAGUGCCGAGCAAAGAUAAAGGAGCUGAGGCAAGCAUACCAGAAUGCAAGGGAGGCAAACCCUCACUCUGGUGUUUUUGGGAAAGACCUGCUGCUUCUGUAAGGAGCUAGACCCCAUCCUCGGCGGUGACCCCACCGCCAAAAGCCCGUGGAUACUUCGGUAGGGCUGGAAGUGGCAGACAGUGGAUCUAACCCUGAGGACAAAGUCGUGGACAAGGAGAUUGAGUUGGAGGAUGAUGUGGAGCACACGUCAGGGUUGUCCAAUGGCAUGGCAAGUCAGGACCUCUUUUCCACUUUUGAGGGAUCUGGCCAGUCGCAGCAGUCCGUCUCUGGUGCGCAUGAUGCAGAAGAGGAGAGCCCUGAUGUGGCUUUCGGGGGAACCUCCUACAAGCUUGCGGAGUGCCUCUGCCAGAUAAGAAGGCAACCAAGGCGUAGCAAGGAGGACAUGUUCUGAGAGGUGCUCCAAUCCUCGGAGGCUGAAAAAAGAGAACAUGGAGUGGAGAGAAAAGGAAAAGGCAAUACAGAAAUGAGAGUGAGGAGCACAUUCUAAAAGGCCAUGAAUGGGUGAUAAAAGUGAUAGAGGAACAAACAGAGAUGUUGAAGUCCCUAAUCGUGCUACAGUCAGAACAGAUGUGUGCUCACCCCUCCCUCCGCAGCCAAUACAGAACUAUUUUCAGUGCCCUCCCCAAACUCCUCCCACACAUUCGGUGCAACUUCCCAGCAUGUCUGAGUACCCUGUUCGCUCCACCCCUUUGGAGAGGUUCCAAAAUGGUAGCUGGACUUAUGCACAGCUCUGAGAGCCUUCACUGUCCUUCACUGUUAUCUCCCUUCCCACCAAACCUUUUCUGUGUUUUAAUUGGUGUUUAAUAAAAACAAACUCUGUGAAAGCAAA
Molecule: long non-coding RNA, 8849 nt
Organism: Chelonia mydas (Green sea turtle)
Lineage: Eukaryota; Metazoa; Chordata; Testudines; Cheloniidae
Exons: 2
Source: RefSeq, a predicted model, not a curated record